GGACGAACGCUGGCGGCGUGCUUAACACAUGCAAGUCGAACGAUGAUGCCCAGCUUGCUGGGUGGAUUAGUGGCGAACGGGUGAGUAACACGUGAGUAACCUGCCCCUGACUCUGGGAUAAGCGUUGGAAACGACGUCUAAUACUGGAUAUGAUUACCGGCCGCAUGGUCUGGUGGUGGAAAGAUUUUUUGGUUGGGGAUGGACUCGCGGCCUAUCAGCUUGUUGGUGAGGUAAUGGCUCACCAAGGCGACGACGGGUAGCCGGCCUGAGAGGGUGACCGGCCACACUGGGACUGAGACACGGCCCAGACUCCUACGGGAGGCAGCAGUGGGGAAUAUUGCACAAUGGGCGAAAGCCUGAUGCAGCAACGCCGCGUGAGGGAUGACGGCCUUCGGGUUGUAAACCUCUUUUAGUAGGGAAGAAGCGAAAGUGACGGUACCUGCAGAAAAAGCACCGGCUAACUACGUGCCAGCAGCCGCGGUAAUACGUAGGGUGCAAGCGUUGUCCGGAAUUAUUGGGCGUAAAGAGCUCGUAGGCGGUUUGUCGCGUCUGCUGUGAAAUCCCGAGGCUCAACCUCGGGCUUGCAGUGGGUACGGGCAGACUAGAGUGCGGUAGGGGAGAUUGGAAUUCCUGGUGUAGCGGUGGAAUGCGCAGAUAUCAGGAGGAACACCGAUGGCGAAGGCAGAUCUCUGGGCCGUAACUGACGCUGAGGAGCGAAAGCGUGGGGAGCGAACAGGAUUAGAUACCCUGGUAGUCCACGCCGUAAACGUUGGGCGCUAGAUGUAGGGACCUUUCCACGGUUUCUGUGUCGUAGCUAACGCA
Molecule: ribosomal RNA, 822 nt
Filed under: bacterium
Lineage: Bacteria
Description: bacterial SSU rRNA
Rfam family: Bacterial small subunit ribosomal RNA
Source: RNAcentral